RNAcentral lists this ribosomal RNA (230 nucleotides) under uncultured bacterium. RNAcentral's name for it is "partial 16S ribosomal RNA". It matches the Rfam family "Bacterial small subunit ribosomal RNA", at positions 562 to 791 of the family's 1533-position model. The record is from RNAcentral.
AAAGCGUGCGCAGGCGGUUCGGAAAGAGAGGUGUGAAAUCCCAGGGCUCAACCUUGGAACUGCACUUUUAACUACCGAGCUAGAGUAUGUCAGAGGGGGGUGGAAUUCCGCGUGUAGCAGUGAAAUGCGUAGAUAUGCGGAGGAACACCGAUGGCGAAGGCAGCCCCCUGGGAUAAUACUGACGCUCAUGCACGAAAGCGUGGGGAGCAAACAGGAUUAGAUACCCUUGU